Molecule: ribosomal RNA, 256 nt
Filed under: uncultured bacterium
Lineage: Bacteria
Description: partial 16S ribosomal RNA
Rfam family: Bacterial small subunit ribosomal RNA
Source: RNAcentral
UACAGAGGGUGCGAGCGUUGUCCGGAAUCACUGGGCGUAAAGGGCGCGUAGGCGGCUUGGUAAGUAGGGGGUGAAAUCUUGCGGCUCAACUGCAAGGCUGCCUCCUAAACUGCCUGGCUGGAGCACGGGUAGAGGCAGAUGGAAUUCCCGGUGUAGCGGUGGAAUGCGUAGAGAUCGGGAAGAACAUCGGUGGCGAAGGCAGCUCGCUGGGACGUGACUGACGCGUGGAGACGCGAAAGCGUGGGGAGCAAACAGG